RNAcentral lists this ribosomal RNA (1304 nucleotides) under Auchenoplax crinita. Its description in RNAcentral is "partial 16S ribosomal RNA". It matches the Rfam family "Bacterial large subunit ribosomal RNA", at positions 536 to 2925 of the family's 2925-position model. The record is from RNAcentral. Lineage: Eukaryota; Metazoa; Annelida; Polychaeta; Terebellida; Ampharetidae.
AUAUGAAAAACUACUGUGAAGUAUAGGUGGGAAUUAGUUAAAAGCUUUAUUAAUUUUAAUUACUUUUUGUAUAACGGCUUAGCAAAUGAUAAACUGUAAGUGGUUUCCCGAAUUCUGACGAGUUAAAUAAUAUUUGUUUAGAACUUAAGUAGGUUAUGUUUCAUAAUAAUUACAAAAAUUUUAUUUAGCGGCUAUAUACUAAUCGCGUUGGGUGAUAGCUGGUUUUUUAUUAUUACACAUUAGUGUGCCUAAAAUUAUAAGUGAUAAAUUUUUGGGUUAUAAUAAGGGGAAAGCUCUUGAUUUUAAUUUAAUAAAAUAAUUUAGUCUAAAUUUAAGUAGGUUUUAUAGCGGCCAUCUUAAGUUUAAUGCGUUGUUGCUUUAAAUUAAAGUAAACUAAAAAUUAGAUAAUACUAAGUUAAUAUAAAUAAAUAAAAUAUUACUAUGAACAAAAAAGUAGUAAUUAAUUUUGCUAAGAUAAGUAUUAUUAUUUUUUGAAAAUAAAGACGAUAAAUUUGAAAAUGAAGAAGUAAUAAAUAAUAAGGUGUAGAGUAAAGGAACUCGGCAAAUUUAAACUUCGACUGUUUAACAAAAACAUUGCUUCAUGAGAUUAAGAUAUGAGGUGAGCCCUGCCCGGUGAUUUACGAGUUAAACGGCUGCGGUAUCCUGACUGUGCUAAGGUAGCGUGAUAAUUCGUCCUUUAAUUGUGGACUUGUAUGAAUGGGUAAACGAGGGUUUAGCUGUCUCUGCUUUAUAAUUAGAAAUUGGAGUUUAGGUGAAAAUACCUGAAUGUAAGUGUGGGACAAAAAGACCCCAUAGAGCUUAGUUUAAAGUAUAUUUGAUUAUUAAGUGUGUUGUGUAUAUUAAUUGUUAAAUUUUUGGAAACUUAACUGGGGCGGUUAGGAAAGCUUUUAGUCUUUCUUUGGAGAUUAAGACUUACAAGUUGAUAAAGAAUGAUCCUUUUAAGAUAUUAGGAAAAGCUACCUUGGGGGUAACAGACUAAUUCUAUUUGAGAGUCCGAAUUGACAAUAGAGUUUGGCACAUCGAUGUUGGCUUAGGAUGUCCUGAGGGUAGUAGCAGCUUUCAAGGGUGGGUUUGUUCAACCUUUAAAAUCCUACAUGAGCUGAGUUCAGACCGGCGUAAGCUAGGUCAGUUUCUAUCUACAUUUACAAGGAAACAUGAGAUAUAUUUGUACGAAAGGACUUUAUUUCUAUAUAGAAAUAUACAAUAUUUGAAGAUUAAAAUAUGGUAAUAAAUGGUAAUUAAGUAUCACAAGAAUAAUGACUAAAAAAGAAAAAAGUACCGAC